GAUGAACGCUGGCGGCGUGCCUAAUACAUGCAAGUCGAGCGAACGGACGAGAAGCUUUCUUCUCUGAUGUUAGCGGCGGACGGGUGAGUAACACGUGGAUAACCUACCUAUAAGACUGUGAUAACUUCGGGAAACCGGAGCUAAUACCGGAUAAUAUUUUGAACCGCAUGGUUCAAAAGUGAAAGACGGUCUUGCUGUCACUUAUAGAUGGAUCCGCGCGGCAUUAGCUAGUUGGUAAGGUAACGGCUUACCAAGGCAACGAUGCAUAGCCGACCUGAGAGGGUGAUCGGCCACACUGGAACGGAGACACGGUCAAGACUCCUACGGGAGGCAGCAGUAGGGAAUCUUCCGCAAUGGGCGAAAGCCUGACGGAGCAACGCCGCGUGAGUGAUGAAGGUCUUCGGAUCGUAAAACUCUGUUAUGAGGGAAGAACAGAUGUGUAAGUAACUGUGCACAUCGUGACGGUACCUAAUCAGAAAGCCACGGCUAACUACGUG
Molecule: ribosomal RNA, 497 nt
Filed under: uncultured bacterium
Lineage: Bacteria
Description: partial 16S ribosomal RNA
Rfam family: Bacterial small subunit ribosomal RNA
Source: RNAcentral